Molecule: unclassified non-coding RNA, 88 nt
Filed under: Pseudomonas yamanorum
Lineage: Bacteria; Pseudomonadati; Pseudomonadota; Gammaproteobacteria; Pseudomonadales; Pseudomonadaceae
Source: RNAcentral
UGUGGGAGCUGGCUUGCCUGCGAUGCCGGCACCCCGGUGUAUCAGUUACACCGAGGUGAUGCUAUCGCGGGCAAGCCCGGCUCCCACA